RNAcentral lists this ribosomal RNA (292 nucleotides) under uncultured bacterium. RNAcentral's name for it is "partial 16S ribosomal RNA". The record is from RNAcentral.
GGACUACAAGGGUAUCUAAUCCUGUUUGCUCCCCACGCUUUCGCGCCUCAGCGUCAGUAUCGGUCCAGAGAGCCGCCUUCGCCACCGGUGUUCUUCCCAAUAUCUACGAAUUUCACCUCUACACUGGGAAUUCCACUCUCCUCUCCCGAUCUCUAGCCCGCCAGUCCCAAAUGCUAUUCCCAGGUUGAGCCCGGGGCUUUCACAUCUGACUUGACGAGCCGCCUGCGCGCCCUUUACGCCCAGUAAUUCCGAACAACGCUUGCCCCCUUCGUAUUACCGCGGCUGCUGGCAC